Small nuclear RNA from Callithrix jacchus (white-tufted-ear marmoset), 102 nucleotides. The record is from Ensembl. NCBI's taxonomy places the organism in Eukaryota, Metazoa, Chordata, Mammalia, Primates, Cebidae.
GUGUCCUUCGGCAGCACAUAUACAAAAACUGUAACAGUACGGAGAGGAGCAUGGCCCCUGGGCAGGGACGACUUGCAAAUGUGCAAAGUGUUCCGUAAGUAC